ACUCUCUUAGUAUAAUCAAUAUAACUGACUUCCAAUCAGUAGAUUCUGAUAAUAUCAGAAGAGAGUA
This 67-nucleotide transfer RNA is filed under the name Apodemus latronum (Sichuan field mouse). RNAcentral's name for it is "tRNA-Gly". The record is from RNAcentral. Lineage: Eukaryota; Metazoa; Chordata; Mammalia; Rodentia; Muridae.